Homo sapiens (human) is the source of this 779-nucleotide long non-coding RNA. Ensembl annotates it as long intergenic non-protein coding RNA 1210. NCBI's taxonomy places the organism in Eukaryota, Metazoa, Chordata, Mammalia, Primates, Hominidae. The record is from Ensembl.
GCUCGCGGUAAGCAGGAUCCACCCGAGUAGCGGGGACCGAAUCCCAUCUUUCUUAUCUCUCGAAGACUCCUUUCAGGCUGAGAUCAGAGAGGGAGGGAAAAAGAAGAGAGAAUCAUUGUUCUUCUUUUUUUAAUUUAAUAUACCAAGCCACCAGCUCAGAAGGCUUCAUUUGCUCUGAGUUAUCAUUGAGAACUAAAUGGAGAAGAAAAGAACUGAAGGCCUGAAGAUAUGUCAUCUGUAGAAAAGGUGGCCUCUUCUCAAGCUUUCUUGGCAAAUCAAGAGCUUCUGCCUUUUGGAGGACAUCCUCUUGACCUCCCACCCAUAUCAGCUCUUAGAGGACAUUCCACAGGAACAUUGCCUUCUUGUCCUCCAGUAUUUUUUAUGGAAACAGAAAUUAGGUUAUCUUCCUUAUGCUCUAGAUGGACAUCUGAAAUCAUCAAACCCUUGAGAGAAACAGCCCUCAUUCUUUUAUGAGACAACCUGGAAGAAAACAGGACUCUGAAGAUUUGUCUCCAUAUUCUCUGGAAAGAUGUACUCUGUUUGCAAUAAGAGGGAGCCACAUGGUUUAUUAGAUGGUUAUUAAUUGAGCAUUCUGUGCAAAGAAGUUUGUGCCUUAGAUUUAGAAUUCCACCCUCAGUUGGAAUACAGAUGAUCCCUAACAAGUCACAUGAAAAAAUGAACUGUGGAGCCAGAAGAGUGAGUUCUUGGAGAACUAAGGGCCAGAGACCUGUGAGCAAGAUUUGAUAAUUUUAUAAAAAUUAAAAGACGAUUUGAAAUGU